GCCUCCGUAGCUCAGGGGAUAGAGCACAGCUCUCCUAAAGCUGGUGUCGCAGGUUCGAAUCCUGCCGGGGGCA
Molecule: non-coding RNA, 73 nt
Organism: Streptomyces sp. Ncost-T6T-2b
Lineage: Bacteria; Bacillati; Actinomycetota; Actinomycetes; Kitasatosporales; Streptomycetaceae
Source: Rfam